This is a long non-coding RNA of Trematomus bernacchii (emerald rockcod), 194 nucleotides long. RefSeq lists it as uncharacterized. The record is from RefSeq and is a predicted model, not a curated record. Lineage: Eukaryota; Metazoa; Chordata; Actinopteri; Perciformes; Nototheniidae. The transcript has 3 exons.
AGAGCAUUGACUGCAACCUUUCCAGCUGAGGUCAUGUUGAAGACGACCUGCAGCCGAGGACCUCCACCUGACGACUCCGCCCCCUGCAGGUGAACUCCCCUCAGACUCCGGCCCCUGCAGGUGAACUCUCCUCAGACUCCGCCCCUGCAGGUGAACUCUCCUCAGACUCCGCCCCUGCAGGUGAACUCCCCUCA